RNAcentral lists this non-coding RNA (23 nucleotides) under Arabidopsis thaliana (thale cress). Lineage: Eukaryota; Viridiplantae; Streptophyta; Magnoliopsida; Brassicales; Brassicaceae. The record is from RNAcentral.
CUGGAAGAGCCGCCCAACGCCCA